AGGACACAAAGGACUUGUGGAACACAAGAAAAAGUUUUGGUUCAGCCUAUGGACACGAUCUGGGGAGGUAACUGCUGAACCAAAACCUACAAGACAAUAAGAGGUAUUUUGUCAAAGCAACAGAAGGAUGAAUGUGUAUCACACGUGUCCUUUCUGGCUCUAGGAAGGUGAAGAAUGUUAUUAUAAUCUACAAUCUUGUCCAAUUGGCCUAGGAAGACAAUGGAUUUGUUCUUAGGACGAGAACAUUUUUUCAGCUAGAGAAAGACAGUAAGAGGUAAACUUCUGAUAAAAUUACCUUGGCCACAGAUUAGAUGUAAACUGAGCAGACAAUAAACCAUGAUGUUUAUUUUCCUC
Long non-coding RNA from Nannospalax galili (Upper Galilee mountains blind mole rat), 354 nucleotides. RefSeq lists it as uncharacterized. The record is from RefSeq and is a predicted model, not a curated record. NCBI's taxonomy places the organism in Eukaryota, Metazoa, Chordata, Mammalia, Rodentia, Spalacidae. The transcript is spliced from 2 exons.